Molecule: ribosomal RNA, 497 nt
Filed under: uncultured bacterium
Lineage: Bacteria
Description: partial 16S ribosomal RNA
Rfam family: Bacterial small subunit ribosomal RNA
Source: RNAcentral
GAUGAACGCUGGCGGCGUGCCUAAUACAUGCAAGUCGAGCGAACAGACGAGGAGCUUGCUCCUCUGACGUUAGCGGCGGACGGGUGAGUAACACGUGGAUAACCUACCUAUAAGACUGGGAUAACUUCGGGAAACCGGAGCUAAUACCGGAUAAUAUAUUGAACCGCAUGGUUCAAUAGUGAAAGACGGUUUUGCUGUCACUUAUAGAUGGAUCCGCGCCGCAUUAGCUAGUUGGUAAGGUAACGGCUUACCAAGGCGACGAUGCGUAGCCGACCUGAGAGGGUGAUCGGCCACACUGGAACUGAGACACGGUCCAGACUCCUACGGGAGGCAGCAGUAGGGAAUCUUCCACAAUGGGCGAAAGCCUGACGGAGCAACGCCGCGUGAGUGAUGAAGGUCUUCGGAUCGUAAAACUCUGUUAUUAGGGAAGAACAAAUGUGUAAGUAACUAUGCACGUCUUGACGGUACCUAAUCAGAAAGCCACGGCCAACUACGUG